Molecule: long non-coding RNA, 1062 nt
Organism: Cyprinus carpio carpio
Lineage: Eukaryota; Metazoa; Chordata; Actinopteri; Cypriniformes; Cyprinidae
Source: Ensembl
GUAGGAUGCACAUAGGAGGUCUGAGAUUUUUCUACAGGGCUUUCUAUGGUCAGUUUUGGUAGUGUCAACUGCAAAAGCACGAUGCCAGAAACAGUCAAUGCUAGACAAUUACUAGACUUUCACUGAUAAACCAAUAAAGAUGUUUACCACCAAAGUGGGACCUGAAAGUGUUUUAAGAUACCUCUGUUUUGCUUAGACAAGAUGUUAGAUGUCUGGAUGGUCGGAAUUUGGCCAAAAAAGGAAGAGCCACUACAAAACCUCUGGGUUGAUGCAGAUUCUGGAAAGAAGGUCCAGUAGGGGGCGCAGUGGAGGCCUGUGGCCCUCUGUUGACACUUUUUGGUAGUGUCAACUGCAACAGGAUUCACUCAAAAUAUAUUUAUUUAUAUAAAUUUCAGGUUCAACUUUUAGCCUAACAGCAUAAGAACCAAAUUUAAACAAUUAUUUUCUGACUUAGAGAGGCAUGAUUUAUUUAUUGACACACGCUAACAUUUUCUUACCUUUUCCUUACGAUCUCUUCUCGCCACAUCAGGCCUUUCGAAAGCUAAACCAAUAAAAAAGUAACAAGUUUAAAAUGUAACACACUGUCCUUAUAUAUAUAUAAAAAAACACUUACCUGGAAUUCUGAUACUAACUCCGUGGCAAAUCAUUCCUCUGAAAGUAAACUUUGAAAAAUGAAUAUGGAGUAUGAGCUGAUGUAGUCGAUAGAUGUGGUUUGUACCUGAUGGACUCGUUUGCAAGAAAUGAUUUCGAUGACAAAGUUAUCAAAAAACCGUAUAUCAUAGAUAGAUAGAUAGAUUUUGAUAUCUUUCUCAUAGAACUCAAUUUUAAAUAUCCAGUUUAAAAGUUAAUAUUUCGUCAAAAAUAAAUAAAUAAAUCAAGAAGAGACACUAACCUGAACUUCCGACUUUUUCUUAAAGCAAAAUGUUCUGAUGCUGUUUGAGUGACUGAGUAAAAGUUGUAGACUGACUCGUUUGUAAGACUUACGAAGACAAAAUCUUAAAAAUCAGAAUCUUCAGAUAAACUACAACCUAGACACUGUGCUAUUGAGUUAUGUAUGACGCC